Molecule: transfer RNA, 90 nt
Filed under: Thermoanaerobaculia bacterium
Lineage: Bacteria; Pseudomonadati; Acidobacteriota; Thermoanaerobaculia
Description: tRNA-Ser
Rfam family: tRNA
About the family: Transfer RNA (tRNA) molecules are approximately 80 nucleotides in length. Their secondary structure includes four short double-helical elements and three loops (D, anti-codon, and T loops).
Source: RNAcentral
GGAGGGGUGGCAGAGUGGUCGAUUGCGGCGGUCUUGAAAACCGCUGUGCCCGCGAGGGCACCGGGGGUUCGAAUCCCUCCCCCUCCGCCA